Molecule: transfer RNA, 73 nt
Filed under: Flavobacteriales bacterium
Lineage: Bacteria; Pseudomonadati; Bacteroidota; Flavobacteriia; Flavobacteriales
Also listed under: 2 other names
Description: tRNA-Trp
Rfam family: tRNA
About the family: Transfer RNA (tRNA) molecules are approximately 80 nucleotides in length.
Source: RNAcentral
ACGGGUGUAGCUCAAUUGGUAGAGCGACGGUCUCCAAAACCGUAGGCUGCGGGUUCGAUUCCUGCCACCCGUG